RNAcentral lists this ribosomal RNA (212 nucleotides) under Galkinius equus. RNAcentral describes it as "partial 12S ribosomal RNA". The record is from RNAcentral. Lineage: Eukaryota; Metazoa; Arthropoda; Thecostraca; Balanomorpha; Pyrgomatidae.
AGUUUGUAUACCGCUGUUGUCAGUCAGUUUCUUUAGAAAGCUUUCUAUCAUGAAAAAAUCAUAGACUUCAAGUAAAGGUGCAGCUUAUGUAAAAGAUAGAGGUGGGUUACAUUUAUUAGAUUAAAACGGAUAAAGUUUAUGAAAUAACUUUUAAAGGUGGAUUUAAUUGUAAGGUUUAAGAAAACUUGAUGUGAGCUCUAUCUUGUGUACAC